ACUAAAAUCUCUCCAUAUAGCCUAUUCUCCAGUUUGAAAGAAAUACCGGUACGUUGAAUAAUGAUGGAUACUCAGAAAGUUCCUGCAAAUCUGUUUUCUGGAGUCUUGAGGUUUUCUUUAUGAAUAUGAUAUUGAAAGAUGAAAAAUGUGUCUCUCCUGACAUCUCUGUAAUGAACUGUUACGGGAUUUAGACAAUUAUGGUAACCAUGCGAAAAAG
Non-coding RNA from Pelobates cultripes (western spadefoot toad), 217 nucleotides. NCBI's taxonomy places the organism in Eukaryota, Metazoa, Chordata, Amphibia, Anura, Pelobatidae. The record is from the annotation of a GenBank genome assembly.